Molecule: microRNA, 20 nt
Filed under: Schistosoma japonicum
Lineage: Eukaryota; Metazoa; Platyhelminthes; Trematoda; Strigeidida; Schistosomatidae
Description: miRNA-3040
Source: RNAcentral
CAAGUGACGCAAACUGGAAA